Molecule: long non-coding RNA, 1465 nt
Filed under: Homo sapiens (human)
Lineage: Eukaryota; Metazoa; Chordata; Mammalia; Primates; Hominidae
Description: HSALNT0089236
Source: RNAcentral
AGUGCACAUAAAAUGGAAAAUGCUUUUUAUACCACUAUUUCCAGCAGGGAUUUUAUUUUCAUUUGUCAUUUGCCAGCCUGGGGUAUGUUGGGAGAAGGAACAAUUGAUUUUUGAAAAGGUGCAUUUGUGUGAAAACCAAAAAUUGUGUUCAACAAAUACUACUACUAACCCAUAUGUGGAUAUAUGUGUUUUAUACAUGAGUAAAAAAAAAAAAAAAAACAUACAUAUAUGUAUGGCAUAUAUAUAUAUAUAUAUAUAUAUAUAUAUGCUAUAGAAAUGCCAUCAAGUUACCAGUUUACUUCUAAAUGUAACUGCUUAAUAUAAAAUAUGCAUCUUUUUGUAGUACCUAAUUCUUGCAAUUCAGUGUAUUUCCUGGCGAGAGGCAGAGAUGAACAACCCUGGACAGUUACCACAUAUGGCUCUUAUGAGAUUCAUCCCACUUCUGAGGUCAGACAUCACAUCUUUUCACUACAUGCCUCUCUUUGGGAGGUUUCUUUCUUGCUAAUCCAAACAAGAACAUCUGCACAAUUGUCAACCUGGAAUUUACUUUAUUAAUCUCCUGGUUUGGAAACACUUUUUCUUGGAUGUUAUAUUUACUUUGGUUUACUAUUUUGUUGGCUUGCACUAAUUUUAUAUGAUUUCUUAAUAAUGAGUGUAUGUUAGACAUUUUACUUGAGUCUUUUCAUAUCACAGUAUGCCUUUAUUUUACCCUCAUAUAUAAUUAAUUUUCAUCUGGGCAUAUAUUUCCAGAUUAGAAAUCAUUUCUUUUCAUACAUUUUAAGGAAUUUAUACAUUUGCAUCUGAAAUUGUAUUCAUUAUCUUCUAGAAACCAAGAGUGGACUUGGUAUCCGUCUGAUUAUAUUUUCUUUGUUGGUAAAGAGCCUCUUUUUUCCCUUUUUAUUUUCAUCUUCUCUUUCUCUAGUGUUUAUAAUCUUAUUUUUAUGAAUGUAGUCUAAUUAUUUAGAACACUGUCUCCGAGUAUGUGUUUAUUUGGGUUUGUGUUUUGAACAUUGCCUCCAGGUGCGAGUUUAUGUGUGUUUAUGUUUCCUAUUUGAGGUUGGACACUUAGAAAAUUUUCUCAAUUCGAAAACUAUUUUCCUUCAGCACUCAGAAAUUUUUAUCAAUGAUUAUUUCCACGAUUAUUUCCUGUCCUUGGUUUUUCGUGUUCUUAACCUAGAAUUCAAUUGUUUAAUGUUAGACCUUACACAUCUUCAAUGUAUCAUAUAUAUUUCACUCAUAUUAUUUAUUGUCAUAUCUUUUGGACUAUUGUGUGAAAGCAAUAAAUGUAUAUUACUUUAUUUAUUGGUAAUGCUCUUCAUUUUCAAAUUUAAUACACACAAAUUGUGCAUACCCACACACAUAUACCACAGAUAUAUUCAUUUUCAGGAUUUCUUUAAGUGUUAUUUUAAAAAUAAUCAUAUUCUUAUUUUGUGAACUGUGGGAUUUCUUGAAACUUUUUGAAAAC